UUGUUUGAGUUGGGAUUUUACUCACUGUAUCUACUCAAUCUCCGUUCAAUCAUUCAGUGCUCAUUAUUCUAAUCUCUCCUUCCUCGAAUGGUUGGUAAGGGUAGUACUGGCGUGGUGAUGCCGCCGCUGAAUUUCGUGACCGUGUGCUACGUGUUGGAAACGGAGAGUUUGUGACAAGCGAACAGCUUUCCGCUUACAAGUUAGUUCAAGCGACCGCUAAGUGGCUAGCGGCUGUGGACACUAGUCUUGUCAGGAGCACCCAACAUCUUCCGGAUUAGUAUCAGCGCUGUUAUGGUCAUAGCCUAACUCUUUCUAUCCAGAGUUGUGGAAUUCUACUCCGUCCACAGCCCACACGACGUGUAAUGGUUACUAGCAGUUUUGAAUGCAGCAGCUUUGGUCUGACAUGCGAGCAACUGUAUCAGCAAGAAUAGCUGCUAUAAACUGAACGGAAAGUCUGCAAGAACAAUUUCAUCGGACUGAACUCUGCUUGGUGACACCUGCCUCAUAGCCAGCAAUUUUGGAAGGACAAUUUCAGCUUAUGGCGGCACCCAGUGAUUGUAGCUGCUGUUUGGACCUGGAAUGGCUGCUGUAUGCACAUGGAAUGGCUGCUGUUUGCGGGCCACGGAAUGGCUGCUGUUUGCGGGCCACGGAAUGGCUGCUGUUUGCGGGUCAUGGAAUGGCUGCUGUUAAGCCACAGAAUGGCUGCUGUUUGGGAGUCGCGGAAUGGCUGCUGUUUGGACACGGAAUGGCUACACGGUUUCAGUACGCUUAGCACGGUACUGGCUGCAAGCAUGUACGAGUGGCUCUGCAAGAAACCAGAUGGAGUUCACGGGGCACUUUGCUAGUGGCCGAAAGGAGGAUUCAUCUGGAUGAGGUAAUGAGGUAAUGAGGUAGGCUCCAACAUCAUGUGAGAGCAGAACAUCAUGAACACGUGUGGAAGGACAGCAGCCAACAGCAAGCCAGCAAGAAGAAAGGCCGGCGAAGAAAUUUCAUGUGAAGAUUAUUCUGCAGAAUUAGCCAUCCCAAACCCCGACCACCAUCCCCUACCAGAAAAAUUACUUUUAUAGCCUAUCCUGCCUCUGAACUUCACACCUGAAAUGAUUGGUCAACUGCCUCGGCCAAUCAGAGUUGAUUAAGUCAUAGCACUUGCAAAGUUCUCACCUCCGACUCUGAUUCUACCCGAUGACAGUUGAUCAAUCAUAAUUAUACCUACCAUGCUUAGUAUGGAUGUGAGUGUG
This is a long non-coding RNA of Sycon ciliatum, 1238 nucleotides long. RefSeq lists it as uncharacterized. The transcript has 3 exons. Lineage: Eukaryota; Metazoa; Porifera; Calcarea; Leucosolenida; Sycettidae. The record is from RefSeq and is a predicted model, not a curated record.